AGAAGAGAUAGGAUUCGGGAAGAGAGAGAGAGAGAGACCGAGAGAGUAGAGAAGAGAGUGAUGUGAGUGAGUGGGGGACUCUGCCAACCACGCUGCCGCCAUCCAAGCCACCGCCACCACCACCACCACCACCACCACCACCACCACCACCACCACCACCACCACAGCCGUCGUCCACCCUGCGAGACUCACCUCACUGCCAUUGACCCACACCCACUGACCAGCCGAUCAACCUAGAGAGAGAAUAGGUAGCUCUACCGAUUCAGACUAAAUGGAUCGAGUUGUGAAUCAGUUGUUAACAAUGAUUGAUGGUUUUCACAAUAUGAACAACAUCUUCAUUGUUGGAACAACCAACAAAUUGGACCUUAUACAUCCUGCUCUUCUGAGCUACUUUGACUCCAAGUUGGACUGGAGCAGAUCUUAUAAGUCUCACAAGAUUGGCGCUUGUCAGAUGCUUUAACUCGGGUCAUGGGAGGCACACUGGGGAUAUUUUGCAAGCAUGAAGGAUAUAAGAAAAAAAUGUGAUCCAAUGUUGGAUUAAUCAAAACUCAUAUCCAAUAAAAAGAUAUUAAAUGAA
Long non-coding RNA from Quercus robur (English oak), 577 nucleotides. RefSeq lists it as uncharacterized. The record is from RefSeq and is a predicted model, not a curated record. The transcript is spliced from 4 exons. NCBI's taxonomy places the organism in Eukaryota, Viridiplantae, Streptophyta, Magnoliopsida, Fagales, Fagaceae.